This 95-nucleotide small nucleolar RNA is filed under the name Maudiozyma saulgeensis. Lineage: Eukaryota; Fungi; Ascomycota; Saccharomycetes; Saccharomycetales; Saccharomycetaceae. The record is from RNAcentral.
UUUUAUGAUGAUUUUUUUAUAUUCACACUGUACUAAUACCAUCUUUUGGUAUAAUGACUACAUCAUACAAAAAUACUGAUUUAAUGACUCUGAUA